GUUUGGGGUUACAUUUUAGGAGCUGAAUGUGCUAAAAAAUGCGCAAUCUUACCAUAUUCGAAUGAUAAAGAAAAGCUUUGUGGAUUGAAUUACUGAUUAAUUCGUAUUAUUAGCAUUUUCUUUAAAGUUUUUUGUCCUUUCGUUUUUGUGUAUGGUCAAAUAUUAAUUAUGGCUUUAAGAGAUUAUCACAUUAGAUGAAGCUCUAUUGGAGAGAGGAAAAUAAAAAUUAAUCAAGGGAUUAUGGUGUUAAUUGGGCACGGACCAUGUUUAGUUUACACUUCUAAACACUGGGUUGGGUUCUAGAAGUGAAUGAAUUGGGGAGUGGAAGGAAACAAGUUGCUUGCUUGAAUCGUUUUAGCUUGAAAGUUUGCCUCCAGUUUUUUGGGGUUCAAAUAUGGUUGAUAAUAACAUGCUCUCCUCUUAAAGUGCCUUUGAGUUUGACACCUUAUUCCUUUUUUUAAUUUACUCAUUCUGUGCAAUCUGUAAUCUUUUCAUGUUGUAUUAUCUGACCUCUACCUUGAUUUGCAAUUGUUACAGAGGUGUUCAGUAUGGCGUCAU
RNAcentral lists this unclassified non-coding RNA (558 nucleotides) under Hevea brasiliensis (rubber tree). Lineage: Eukaryota; Viridiplantae; Streptophyta; Magnoliopsida; Malpighiales; Euphorbiaceae. The record is from RNAcentral.